Molecule: ribosomal RNA, 471 nt
Filed under: Madaglymbus sp. BI-2011
Lineage: Eukaryota; Metazoa; Arthropoda; Insecta; Coleoptera; Dytiscidae
Description: partial 16S ribosomal RNA
Source: RNAcentral
AACAAAAACAUGUCCUUUUGUUUAUAUUUAUUUAAGGUUUGACCUGCCCACUGAAUUUUUCUUUAUUUUGAAUGGCCGCAGUAAUUUGACUGUGCAAAGGUAGCAUAAUCAUUAGUUUUUUAAUUGAAAGCUUGUAUGAAGGGUUGGACGAAGUAUAAUCUGUCUUUAUUUAAUUUAUUAUAGAAUUUAAUUUUUAAGUUAAAAAGCUUAAAUAAUUAUAAAAGACGAGAAGACCCUAUAAAUCUUUAUAUUAUUUUAAAUUAUUUUAAUUAGGAUUAUUUAAUUUAUGAUUUUUUAUAGUAUUUUAUUGGGGUAAUAUUAUGAUUAAACUAAUUCAUUUUGGUUUUUUACAUUAAUUUAUGAUUUUAUGAUCCAAUAUAUUUUGAUUAUAAGAUUAAGUUACUUUAGGGAUAACAGCGUAAUUUUUUUAAAGAGUUCAUAUCGAUAAAAAAGUUUGCGACCUCGAUGUUG